Long non-coding RNA from Camelus dromedarius (Arabian camel), 1745 nucleotides. RefSeq lists it as uncharacterized. The record is from RefSeq and is a predicted model, not a curated record. Lineage: Eukaryota; Metazoa; Chordata; Mammalia; Artiodactyla; Camelidae. The transcript has 8 exons.
AAUACGAGACUCUCCCCGUGGUCGUCCAACCCGUGGGGAUCAUUUCAGAGGACAAUUUCUUUUGCAUCUAUAAAUGAAUCUCCUUGGUGAGCCAGAUCAGCCCGUGCGGCUCCCAGUGGGCACUCUGUAUCCACUACAGGCACCACUAUGCUUUCGAGAAUGCAUGGAGUGACUUCCAGACCCACCGCACGGUCGUGGGCCUUGUCACCAUUACCGACUGCCUCUCGGCCAAGGCCUUCGAGAAGCUCCAUGUACAGAGGAGCUGUAUGGCACCACGCUUAAUGACUCUCAGCUCUUUGUCUUUGUGCUGCAUGGGGAGGUAGCCGAGCAGCCACGCACCAACGUGGCCUUCAAACUACGAGGACUGCCGGGUGGUGGAGAAGAGGAUCGAGGACUUCACUGAGUCACUGUUCAUCUUGCUCAAGUCCAAGUGGCUGGAUGGGACCCUGACAAGUCUGGGGAAAGGAUCCCCCUCCUCUGCACCUUGUUUGAGAAGGAAGACUUCAUGGGACUGGACACAGACAGCAGGGCCCUGUGAUCUACACGUCCGCACACCCUUCUGCUCCUUGGGGAUGAGGUGGCAGGUUUAGGUGCUUGGGCACUGCUGUGGGCACAGCUGCCAGCACCGGGCUACACCGAGGCUGGCUCCGUUCACCUCACAUGUCACCUCCGGCUGAGCCCCCAGGCGUUAGUCAAGGUCGUGGUCCCAAAGGAGCAAGCAAACACCCAGUUGGUCACCAUGCAGUGCUGCUACAGAGGGAGACCUGCCAAGACCUAAAGGAUAUUAUCAGAGAGGACUUCCUGGAAGAAAUGGGCUCUACAUUCAGUUGUGAAGACAGAAUCGUUUUGGUUACUGAGACCCUCGAAUUCCCAUAUGAAUUAUAACAGCAGCUAAUCAGUUUUUGCAGAGGAGCCCGCUGGGAUUGUGAUCAAGACCACGUAGAAUAUACGGAUCACUCUGGGGAGCAAUGCCAUUCCAAGAGCACUGUCUUCUGAUCCAGGAAUGUAUGUGGCGUGUCUGUCCAGGUGCCCUCACAUCCAGUGGCAUCCAUCCAGACACCAACACUGACACUGGCCAUGCUCAGAACUGCCUCAGCCCUGAAGACACAAGUGACAAAUAGAAGGGGGCCGCACCCUGUUACAGCAGGUGCUCUCACUUUGUGGGUCCUUAUGUAACUGCGUGGUGUUAAUCAGGAUCGCCCGUUCUACAUUGUGUGGCGCUGCUGCAGUGUCUCCUAGUUAUUUGUUUCUCUGUCCACGUGGGUCAAAUCAUGGUGCCCCUCUAAAACCUCCAAAAAAAAACAAAGUUGAUUCUCUAUUUUGCAACUUGCCAUCUCUACAUAAGUGCAGAAGAGUUAACAUCGUGAAAGAUCAGAGCCCGGAGAACAGGCUCUCCUGGAUAUUUCAGGCUAAAGGCAACUUUCUUUUACAAAAGGAUCUGAGGAGCAGGAGCAAGGAACGCAGGGAGAGAUCCAGGAAGACAUCUGACUGUGUUAAGAGAUGACAGUCACAGCCACACAGGGAGCAAGGACACUUGCAGCAAAGUAAAACGACUUCACAACUAUUGCAUCAGAGCUGCCUGUGUGAGAGAGCCUAAGCCUGUCUCAGAGUGCAGGGGACAAGCGGAAAGGAAUGUGUAAGAAUGCUGGUGACUGAGUUAGAAGCAUGCUUCAAAGCUGUCCGUGUCCUUGCCAUCCAGAAGCGGAGCCUGGGAGCUUCCGAAUUUCUCCAGAAUGCGGUUUACA